AUCCAGCUGACGAGUCUCAAAAAUGACGAAACGCGUGUCCUAGAU
This 45-nucleotide non-coding RNA is filed under the name Schistosoma bovis. RNAcentral also lists the same sequence under 2 other names. Lineage: Eukaryota; Metazoa; Platyhelminthes; Trematoda; Strigeidida; Schistosomatidae. The record is from RNAcentral.